RNAcentral lists this ribosomal RNA (1433 nucleotides) under Klebsiella pneumoniae. RNAcentral's name for it is "bacterial SSU rRNA". It matches the Rfam family "Bacterial small subunit ribosomal RNA". The record is from RNAcentral. Lineage: Bacteria; Pseudomonadati; Pseudomonadota; Gammaproteobacteria; Enterobacterales; Enterobacteriaceae.
GCUACACAUGCAGUCGAGCGGUAGCACAGAGAGCUUGCUCUCGGGUGACGAGCGGCGGACGGGUGAGUAAUGUCUGGGAAACUGCCUGAUGGAGGGGGAUAACUACUGGAAACGGUAGCUAAUACCGCAUAACGUCGCAAGACCAAAGUGGGGGACCUUCGGGCCUCAUGCCAUCAGAUGUGCCCAGAUGGGAUUAGCUAGUAGGUGGGGUAACGGCUCACCUAGGCGACGAUCCCUAGCUGGUCUGAGAGGAUGACCAGCCACACUGGAACUGAGACACGGUCCAGACUCCUACGGGAGGCAGCAGUGGGGAAUAUUGCACAAUGGGCGCAAGCCUGAUGCAGCCAUGCCGCGUGUGUGAAGAAGGCCUUCGGGUUGUAAAGCACUUUCAGCGGGGAGGAAGGCGAUAAGGUUAAUAACCUUGUCGAUUGACGUUACCCGCAGAAGAAGCACCGGCUAACUCCGUGCCAGCAGCCGCGGUAAUACGGAGGGUGCAAGCGUUAAUCGGAAUUACUGGGCGUAAAGCGCACGCAGGCGGUCUGUCAAGUCGGAUGUGAAAUCCCCGGGCUCAACCUGGGAACUGCAUUCGAAACUGGCAGGCUAGAGUCUUGUAGAGGGGGGUAGAAUUCCAGGUGUAGCGGUGAAAUGCGUAGAGAUCUGGAGGAAUACCGGUGGCGAAGGCGGCCCCCUGGACAAAGACUGACGCUCAGGUGCGAAAGCGUGGGGAGCAAACAGGAUUAGAUACCCUGGUAGUCCACGCCGUAAACGAUGUCGAUUUGGAGGUUGUGCCCUUGAGGCGUGGCUUCCGGAGCUAACGCGUUAAAUCGACCGCCUGGGGAGUACGGCCGCAAGGUUAAAACUCAAAUGAAUUGACGGGGGCCCGCACAAGCGGUGGAGCAUGUGGUUUAAUUCGAUGCAACGCGAAGAACCUUACCUGGUCUUGACAUCCACAGAACUUUCCAGAGAUGGAUUGGUGCCUUCGGGAACUGUGAGACAGGUGCUGCAUGGCUGUCGUCAGCUCGUGUUGUGAAAUGUUGGGUUAAGUCCCGCAACGAGCGCAACCCUUAUCCUUUGUUGCCAGCGGUCCGGCCGGGAACUCAAAGGAGACUGCCAGUGAUAAACUGGAGGAAGGUGGGGAUGACGUCAAGUCAUCAUGGCCCUUACGACCAGGGCUACACACGUGCUACAAUGGCAUAUACAAAGAGAAGCGACCUCGCGAGAGCAAGCGGACCUCAUAAAGUAUGUCGUAGUCCGGAUUGGAGUCUGCAACUCGACUCCAUGAAGUCGGAAUCGCUAGUAAUCGUAGAUCAGAAUGCUACGGUGAAUACGUUCCCGGGCCUUGUACACACCGCCCGUCACACCAUGGGAGUGGGUUGCAAAAGAAGUAGGUAGCUUAACCUUCGGGAGGGCGCUACCACUUUGAUCUUGUUCAG